AUCCUAUCAGUUCGAAUUUUGAUACCAAAGGCCUCAUGUUUGAAUUACGAUGAGCUCAAAGCCUCGAAUCCAUAACUUCAAGCCCGAACCCUGAAAUCCUGGCCGUCCAUUUGUUAAUCGGGCGGUUGGCAAACACCCUGCUUGCUGUUCUAUCCGCGCCUUGCCCGCCGUCGCGUGUGGCUCUCGCCUCGACGACCAUGGCGAUGUUCGCGCGGCGCCUCCUCGUCUUCCACCUCCGCCCGCCCGCGCAUCCCCUCGCAGCCGCCAUUGCCGCUCCCCACCGCCGCCGCAAGCACGACGCCGUCGCGUGCAGAGCCGCUGCGGGGAAGGGGACGAGCAAGGCCAGGGCGAGGGACAAGGACGGCAGUAAGCGGCAGCAGAGGCGGGCGCUGGAGGAGCACCUCAAGCGGCGCACGCGCUCCGGCGCCGCCUUCGACGCCGGCCUCUACCGGCGGCACUCCCACGCGGAGCACGUCCCCGUCAUGCUCGGCGAGGUCCUCGCCGCGUUCCGCCGCCCUCUCCCGCUCCGCUCCUUCGUCGACUGCACCCUCGGCGCGGCCGGCCACUCGCUCGCCAUGAUGGAGGCACACCCGGAGAUGGAACUGUACAUUGGGAUGGAUGUCGAUCCCUCUGCGCUGGAGAUUGGCCGGAGCCGUAUCGAGGCCUUCCUUGCCAAUAGGGAAACUAAUGGAGAUGACGAAGAUGCCUCGCAGGGAACACUGCGUGCAUACACUCACGCCAAGAAUUUCAAGUACAUCAAGCAUGUUCUUGGCAGCGUGGAUGAGAACAUUGCUGUUGGAACGUCUGGAGUUGAUGGAAUCCUCAUUGACCUUGGCAUGUCAUCCAUGCAGGUGAACAGAUCAGACAGGGGAUUUAGCGUUCUUCAGGAUGGGCCACUUGACAUGCGCAUGGAUCCUAAGGCAACUUUGAAAGCAGAAGAUAUCUUGAAUUCUUGGCCUGAUCUUGAAGUUGGGCGUAUCCUGCGUGAUUAUGGUGAGGAAAGUAAUUGGCAGUCCCUUCAGAAGCGGAUUGUUAAAGCCCGGGCUAUGGGGGGUUUGCACUCGACAGGGGAGCUUGUCAAACUUAUCCAAAGAACGUGUACCAGUUCAGGGGGAAGGCAAGGUUGGAUUAAGACUGCAACAAGGGUGUUUCAGGCCCUAAGAAUCGCAGUUAAUGAUGAACUCCGAACUCUAGAAGAUGCACUUCAUGCAUGCUUUGAUUGCCUAGCAACAGAUGGUCGCCUUGCAGUAAUCUCAUUCCACAGUUUGGAGGAUAGAAUAGUGAAGCAGACCUUUCUGGAACUUAUUCAUGAAGAUGAAAUAGAUGAUGAUGAAGACGACUUGGUGAGUGCUGACAUUGAUAGUGAAGAUGAACCCUGGUUUAAGCAGAGAGUGCAAGGAAAGAAUGGAACCAUUCUAACGAAAAGACCAAUAUCUCCUUCACAAGAGGAGGAAGAACUGAAUCAGAGGUGCAGAAGUGCCAAGCUCAGAGUUAUUCAGAAGGCGUGAACCUGGAUUAAUCAUAUGAUGACUAAAUUCUGAGCUCUGAGGAGCAGUGAGGACAUCCAUGCGUGAACUCAUAUAACAUGUGAAUGAUCGCGCUUGCAGUUGCAACAAUAAUAACUGGAAAAACUAGCUCGAGAGGAUGAAAUGGCCAUCCUGUUUCUGCAGUUAACUUAGAGAGUAGAGCUUAGGAAGCCUCUGAUUAAAUUGCAUAUUUUACCAGCUAAUUAAACAUAUGAUGGUUGUUUGACUUGGGAUUUCUUGCUCAUAUCAAUUGUACUUGUUUACACUCAAGCAGGGUAGGGAACCACCACAAAAUAAGUCAAGUUCAGAUAAAACCAAAACAUGCAUAUUCAGAAUCCAA
RNA transcript from Oryza sativa Japonica Group (Japanese rice), 1866 nucleotides. RefSeq lists it as uncharacterized. The record is from RefSeq and is a predicted model, not a curated record. NCBI's taxonomy places the organism in Eukaryota, Viridiplantae, Streptophyta, Magnoliopsida, Poales, Poaceae.